This 407-nucleotide ribosomal RNA is filed under the name uncultured bacterium. Its description in RNAcentral is "partial 16S ribosomal RNA". It matches the Rfam family "Bacterial small subunit ribosomal RNA", at positions 28 to 526 of the family's 1533-position model. The record is from RNAcentral.
GACGAACGCUGGCGGCGCGCCUAACACAUGCAAGUCGAGCGAAGCGGCGGACGGGUGAGUAAUGCCUAGGAAUCUGCCUGGUAGUGGGGGCUAACGUCCGGAAACGGGCGCUAAUACCGCAUCCCAUCAGAUGAGCCUACGUCGGAUUAGCUAGUUGGUGGGGUAAAGGCCUACCCAGGCGACGAUCCGUAACUGGUCUGAGAGGAUGAUCAGUCACACUGGAACUGAGACACGGUCCAGACUCCUACGUGAGGCAGCAGUGGGGAAUAUUGGACAAUGGGCGAAAGCCUGAUCCAGCCAUGCCGCGUGUGUGAAGAAGGUCUUCGGAUUGUAAAGCACUUUAAGUUGGGAGGCGUUACCAACAGAAUAAGCACCGGCUAACUUCGUGCCAGCAGCCGCGGUAAUAC